AGAUCAAAUUGUUGGUCGUGCCUCGGUACGUACUGGCAUUAUUGAUUUCUCCCUUCUGAAGAACCACGAUGUCAUUAAUUUGGUGUCGUGGGGAAUCAGGACUGUUACUUUGAAAAAAUUAGAGUGUUUAAAGCAGGCUCACGCUUGAAUACAUUAGCAUGGAAUAAUGAAAUAGGACGUUUGAUUCUAUUUUGUUGGUUAUAAAGCCGAGGUA
This 214-nucleotide ribosomal RNA is filed under the name Campeiostachys nutans. RNAcentral describes it as "Elymus nutans partial small subunit ribosomal RNA". The stretch from base 38 to 214 matches the Rfam family "Eukaryotic small subunit ribosomal RNA", at positions 685 to 864 of the family's 1831-position model. The record is from RNAcentral. Lineage: Eukaryota; Viridiplantae; Streptophyta; Magnoliopsida; Poales; Poaceae.